Quercus lobata is the source of this 383-nucleotide long non-coding RNA. RefSeq lists it as uncharacterized. The transcript has 3 exons. Lineage: Eukaryota; Viridiplantae; Streptophyta; Magnoliopsida; Fagales; Fagaceae. The record is from RefSeq and is a predicted model, not a curated record.
UUUGAGAGAGGAGACUAUCGAAAUUACUCUGGAAGAGAAGGUUUAACUGCACAAUUGAGGUGAUAUCUAAAGAUUUUAGGGGAAUUGUUAAGGAAAAGUUUCUUUUGGAAUAGCAUUUGGAGAUUUUGAUCAGGAAGAGUAGCAUAUGUUUGGGCUUCCGCUGUGAUGUGCGCAUGAGUGAAGUUUAGGAAAUCAAUGGAAUAAGUUUUGAACUUUUAUGUUUUAAGAUUACCAUUUGUGUAAUCCUUCAGACUUAAAGGAUUUAGUUUAUUUUUAUUUGAUGUUGGAAGAUUAUUACUUGGAGAUCUUUGAGAAUUUCUUUAUUGAGGAUAUUUUUAAAUUUAUUGAUGAAAUUUUCUUAAGGAUAAUUAUUUAAUUGUUUA